UGCCAGCCGCCGCGGUAAUACGGAGGGUGCAAGCGUUGUUCGGAAUUACUGGGCGUAAAGCGCGCGUAGGCGGCUAUUUAAGUCAGAUGUGAAAGUCCACGGCUCAACCGUGGAAGUGCAUUUGAAACUGGGUAGCUUGAGUACUGGAGGGGGUGGUGGAAUUCCCGGUGUAGAGGUGAAAUUCGUAGAUAUCGGGAGGAAUACCGGUGGCGAAGGCGACUACCUGGGCCGAUAUUGACGCUGAGGCGCGAAGGCGUGGGUAGCGAACGGGAUUAGAUA
This 279-nucleotide ribosomal RNA is filed under the name uncultured bacterium. RNAcentral's name for it is "partial 16S ribosomal RNA". It matches the Rfam family "Bacterial small subunit ribosomal RNA", at positions 506 to 784 of the family's 1533-position model. The record is from RNAcentral.